Molecule: long non-coding RNA, 619 nt
Organism: Sarcophilus harrisii (Tasmanian devil)
Lineage: Eukaryota; Metazoa; Chordata; Mammalia; Dasyuromorphia; Dasyuridae
Exons: 3
Source: RefSeq, a predicted model, not a curated record
GAUCAUGAAAGGAAGUAUAUUUACAUCAGCUACAAGCCAUGUUUAAGGGAGCUAGGGAUGGCUGCCUGGCCCUUAUUGCCUUUUUAAUUUUUUUUAAGAAGGUAGUGUUUUAAUUAGAGAGAAAGUAAAGUAAAAUGAGGGAAAUUGUGUAAUUCAAGUGCCUCUGGAACUCUACAAGGCAGUUGAAAAUCCCAAGGUUAAAAGUUGAAUGUGGACCUUCAGGAUUGUGAACUGGAGAAUGAGGAAUUGGGGGGACAGAGACUGAGAGAAGAAUUUUGAAUGCAGACUAAGGGCAGUAUCUAUGUAAAUAGAAUUGUCCCCACUCUCCACUGCCUAUUCAAAUCCACAGAGAAAAGAUUUGGCUGGAACUAGUAGAACCGACAUCAGCUAAAGGACAAACAAGGUUUAAUUCCCACCCUUCCCCCCCUUGUCCAUCUCCAACUCUGCAGCUGGCCAGCAUUUCUAUAAUUUCUUUGUUUGAGUUAUUCAUAAUUUCUGGUUUUCACUGUAAAUUAUGACCUGUCAUAACUGGUUGAUGAUUUGAGUGCCUCGCUCUUUAUAACUAGAAAGGCUUUGAAGGCUAAUAGGAGUGGGAGUGGGGGUGGGAGUGGGGACUGGA